This 759-nucleotide ribosomal RNA is filed under the name Meloidogyne incognita (southern root-knot nematode). RNAcentral describes it as "partial large subunit ribosomal RNA". Lineage: Eukaryota; Metazoa; Nematoda; Chromadorea; Rhabditida; Meloidogynidae. The record is from RNAcentral.
AKAAGUACCGUGAGGGAAAGUUGCAAAGCACUUUGAAGAGAGAGUUAAAGAGGACGUGAAACCGGUAAGGUGGAAACGGAUAGAGUCGGCGUAUCUUUCAAUUAUUCAUUUACAUUAUUUUUAUGUUGUGACCUCUGAGCUCCAGAUUGGGACAGAGGGAAUCAGCAUAAUUUUUUGUGGUGCAUUUACUUGAUUGGUGCUUGGGGAUGUUUGAGGCAGAUUUGUUUCCGUCGUUUUGAGGCCAGCUUGCUGGUACCCAAACGGUGUUAGCAUUUUUUGUCUUGGGCAUUUGAGUAUGGCUUACGGGUAUUUAUUGGUCAGAUCUGAGUGUAAGUUACGGUCGCAUGCGACACGUGCUUUUCAAUUAGUUCGGUCCAGUUAAUGCUCUCGUACUCGUUCCCCAUGUAAAAGCCGGUCAUCUAUCCGACCCGUCUUGAAACACGGACCAAGGAGUUUAUCGUGUGCGCAAGUUUUUGGGUGUUAAAAACUUAAAAGCGAAAUGAAAGUAAAUGACUCUUUAGAGUCUGAUGUGCGAUCUUGUAAAAAAGUGUAGCAUGGCCCCAUUCUAACUGUUUACAGUAGGGUGGCGGAAGAGCGUACGCGGUGAGACCCGAAAGAUGGUGAACUAUUCCUGAGCAGGACGAAGCCAGAGGAAACUCUGGUGGAAGUCCGAAGCGGUUCUGACGUGCAAAUCGAUCGUCUGACUUGGGUAUAGGGGCGAAAGACUAAUCGAACCAUCUAGUAGCUGGUUCCUUCCGA